AUAACGAGAUGGGAAGCGGCGUGCUUCCCGUGUAUGAUUGAACCCGCUGGCACUCUGGUGUCGAGGGUUCAUUUUUAU
RNAcentral lists this small RNA (78 nucleotides) under uncultured Kluyvera sp. RNAcentral's name for it is "sroE RNA". It matches the Rfam family "sroE RNA". From Rfam's summary of the family: This family consists of a number of bacterial sroE RNA genes of around 90 bases in length. sroE is found in several Enterobacterial species but its function is unknown. The record is from RNAcentral. Lineage: Bacteria; Pseudomonadati; Pseudomonadota; Gammaproteobacteria; Enterobacterales; Enterobacteriaceae.